This 319-nucleotide unclassified non-coding RNA is filed under the name Hevea brasiliensis (rubber tree). Lineage: Eukaryota; Viridiplantae; Streptophyta; Magnoliopsida; Malpighiales; Euphorbiaceae. The record is from RNAcentral.
AAACCGCAGUUCCAUAUAAGCCAAUGAAAAACUAAUUCAAUACGGCAUUUAUGUGCCCGACAACAGCAAACAAUAGAGUUCUAAUGGAUCCAUCAAUUAGAGAGGGCCUGGAAAGUUUCCAUUCUCCCUCUGCUCAUUCCAUUUCUCAACCCAUUCCCCGGGACAGAGUGAUCUGUAGUAUUGGGCAAACUUUCCACAAUCACCAGACUCUUCACCUUUUGCAGAGACACACUUGUGAUACUCCACAUAGCGAGUGAAGCAGUGUCUUGUUUGAUUUGUUGUGGGGAAGCGAAAAUCAGCUGGGGCUGUUUUCAACUCA